GUAGCCUACGGGAGGCAGCAGUGGGGAAUAUUGCACAAUGGGCGAAAGCCUGAUGCAGCAACGCCGCGUGAAGGAAGAAGGGUUUCGGCUCGUAAACUUCUAUCAACAGGGACGAAAGAAAUGACGGUACCUGAAUAAGAAGCCCCGGCUAACUACGUGCCAGCAGCCGCGGUAAUACGUAGGGGGCAAGCGUUAUCCGGAAUUAUUGGGUGUAAAGGGUGCGUAGACGGGACAGCAAGUUAGUUGUGAAAGCCCUCGGCUUAACUGAGGAACUGCAACUAAAACUAUUGUUCUUGAGUGCAGGG
RNAcentral lists this ribosomal RNA (305 nucleotides) under uncultured bacterium. RNAcentral's name for it is "bacterial SSU rRNA". It matches the Rfam family "Bacterial small subunit ribosomal RNA", at positions 334 to 653 of the family's 1533-position model. The record is from RNAcentral.